AAGACUAUAGACCUGCGGAGUACCUGCGGAAGGAUCAUUACAGAGUUGCAAAACUCCCUAAACCAUUGUGAACGUUACCUAAACCGUUGCUUCGGCGGGCGGCGCGCCCUCGCGCGCGCCCCUGGGCCCCACCGCGGGCGCCCGCCGGAGGUCACCAAACUCUUGAUAUUAAUUGGCCUCUCUGAGUCUUCUGUACUGAAUAAGUCAAAACUUUUAGCAACGGAUCUCUAGAUCGGAAGA
Molecule: unclassified non-coding RNA, 240 nt
Filed under: soil metagenome
Description: partial contains 5.8S ribosomal RNA, internal transcribed spacer 2, and large subunit ribosomal RNA
Source: RNAcentral